GCGCCCAUCGUCUAGAGGCCUAGGACGUCGCCCUUUCACGGCGAAAACAGGGGUUCGAAUCCCCUUGGGCGCGCCA
RNAcentral lists this transfer RNA (76 nucleotides) under Methylocystis parvus. RNAcentral describes it as "tRNA-Glu". It matches the Rfam family "tRNA". From Rfam's summary of the family: Transfer RNA (tRNA) molecules are approximately 80 nucleotides in length. Their secondary structure includes four short double-helical elements and three loops (D, anti-codon, and T loops). Lineage: Bacteria; Pseudomonadati; Pseudomonadota; Alphaproteobacteria; Hyphomicrobiales; Methylocystaceae. RNAcentral also lists the same sequence under 36 other names. The record is from RNAcentral.